RNAcentral lists this ribosomal RNA (962 nucleotides) under Uloma sp. COL175. Its description in RNAcentral is "SSU rRNA". It matches the Rfam family "Eukaryotic small subunit ribosomal RNA", at positions 32 to 937 of the family's 1831-position model. The record is from RNAcentral. Lineage: Eukaryota; Metazoa; Arthropoda; Insecta; Coleoptera; Tenebrionidae.
UUGUCUCAAAGAUUAAGCCAUGCAUGUCUCAGUACAAGCCGAAUUAAGGUGAAACCGCGAAAGGCUCAUUAAAUCAGUUAUGGUUCCUUAGAUCGUACCCACAUUUACUUGGAUAACUGUGGUAAUUCUAGAGCUAAUACAUGCAAACAGAGCUCCAACCGGAAACGGAAGGAGCGCUUUUAUUAGAUCAAAACCAAUCGGUGGCGGUUUCGCCGUCAUCGUACAACUUGGUGACUCUGAAUAACUUUAAGCUGAUCGCACGGUCUCGCACCGGCGACGCAUCUUUCAAAUGUCUGCCUUAUCAACUGUCGAUGGUAGGUUCUGCGCCUACCAUGGUUGUAACGGGUAACGGGGAAUCAGGGUUCGAUUCCGGAGAGGGAGCCUGAGAAACGGCUACCACAUCCAAGGAAGGCAGCAGGCGCGCAAAUUACCCACUCCCGGCACGGGGAGGUAGUGACGAAAAAUAACGAUACGGGACUCAUCCGAGGCCCCGUAAUCGGAAUGAGUACACUCUAAACCCUUUAACGAGGAUCAAUUGGAGGGCAAGUCUGGUGCCAGCAGCCGCGGUAAUUCCAGCUCCAAUAGCGUAUAUUAAAGUUGUUGCGGUUAAAAAGCUCGUAGUCGAAUCUGUGUCCCGCGCCGCCGGUUCAUCGUUCGCGGUGUUAACUGGCGUGUCGCGGGACGUCCUGCCGGUGGACUUAGCUCGAGAGGGCGGUCCAACUCAAUCCCGCCGCGGUGCUCUUCAUUGAGUGUCGAGGUGGGCCGGCACGUUUACUUUGAACAAAUUAGAGUGCUUAAAGCAGGCUAAAACUUCGCCUGAAUACUGUGUGCAUGGAAUAAUGGAAUAGGACCUCGGUUCUAUUUUGUUGGUUUUCGGAACCCCGAGGUAAUGAUUAAUAGGAACGGAUGGGGGCAUUCGUAUUGCGACGUUAGAGGUGAAAUUCUUGGAUCGUCGCACGACG